AGGUCAGAAUUGAACUGUUUUAUAGUGAAACAUAUAUAUCUAUUUCUAAUCAAUAUCUCCUCAGGAGGAAAGUAAGAAGUUUAUAUGUUUACAAAUUGUGUACUUCAAAGAAGUAUGACUCACACAUAUUCCGAGUAGAAGCUAUCAAUUUGGCCAAAACAAGACAUUCAACAGCUAUGAGAGAGUUAAUGAUGUACGGUCACUUGGUCAAAGGUUAGUAACUCGACCCCCCCCCCCUUUCCAGAACACUUGUAGUAACUUAGCCAAACAAACCCCAGAUUGUAAACAUCGGAUAAGAACCCCCAAAACAAAAGACUUCCUGUCUCCCUCCCAAUAACAAGACCCUUUCCCAGAACAGGUUAUGUGUGGUAGCUAUACCACCGUGAGAGUGUAGCUGUUAUAAAAGAAGGCAGAGGUAUUUGACAGAUUCACUCCUGUACUGCGCCCCAUCCAUGGGGCAGGCAGGGAGGUCGACUCUGCAAGCUUUUGGUGUAACAUGUCAUUAUAUAGGUGUUGACAAAUUACAAUCAACAUGUAAGAAGCGGGAACGAGAGGAAACGGUCCUCUAGGCCAGAUUGCCAGGGUGAGUGGGUUAUCAUAUUCAAUGUAUAAACCACUAAUUCAAUGUAGUUUUAAUUGGGAAUUAUGUUUGAUUGUUUGACAAAGUUCACUUGAUGGUUGUCUUCAUUUAUUUGUUGGGAAAGUUAUCCAUAACGAUGGAAGAACUUUAUUGAUUAGAUACUUGUUAUUUUCAUGCAAUAUUGAUUAAGUUUUAAUGAAUGUAAUAUAAACAACAUGUUUAUCAUUUAUUAUUAUGAGUCGGCUUGACGUCAUAUUGUUGGAAUGCGUAUCUAAGGGUCAACAAAUAUUAUGUUUAUCGCUAUUAUGUGUGUUUUUCAAACAUGUCCACAUUUUUAUUUAAUUGUUUUAACUUUGUUUAUUUGUCCAGGCUUUAGCUUUGGCUUUAGCUUACUUUAGCUUUGUUCACUUUGCACCUGAAAUAAAAAGAACCGCAACACAA
This is a long non-coding RNA of Strongylocentrotus purpuratus (purple sea urchin), 1021 nucleotides long. RefSeq lists it as uncharacterized. The transcript is spliced from 2 exons. Lineage: Eukaryota; Metazoa; Echinodermata; Echinoidea; Camarodonta; Strongylocentrotidae. The record is from RefSeq and is a predicted model, not a curated record.